Molecule: non-coding RNA, 1253 nt
Organism: Puma concolor (puma)
Lineage: Eukaryota; Metazoa; Chordata; Mammalia; Carnivora; Felidae
Source: the annotation of a RefSeq genome assembly
AUGGCAGCCUCCUGCGCCAGCUUCCCUUUGACCGGAUCACCUCCUGAUGACAGCCGCUGUCUGGACUUGUGGAGAACAGCCGAGUGCGUCAGGGACCCUCAGCAAUUCGUCCUGAGGUUUCCAGGGAGUCUGGGUGACACAGGCCGCAUGACGAGGGGACUGGGAUGGAGGAAGGGCAGGCGACUGCGGUCCCAGACGGGACUCGAGGGCCAGGUGCUGCGCCACACGAAGGCAGACGGAGGCUGGUGCUGCUGGGAUACAAGUGCCCGGAGGAGCACCCUUGUGUGUGGUUCUGUGACCUCGCCAGGGUCUGCGCGUGCCUGGUCGCUUUUCAGAGAGUGGGAUUGGUAUAGCUGGGCCCACAAAGUGUUCGGUCCUGGCACACUGCUCAGGGUUACAGAUAAAAAUCCUGAUGAAGACACUUCCCCCAAGCCCACAAUUUUUCUUCCGUCAAUUGCUGAAGUAAACCUCCAUAAGGCUGGAACAUAUCUUUCUCUUCUUGAGGAAUUUUUCCCUGAUGUUAUCGAGAUAGAUUGGAAAGAACAGGAUGGCAAAACAAUUCUGACGUCCCAACAGGGAAACACCAUGAAGACUAAGGACACAUACAUGAAAUACACCUGGCUGACCGUGGGUGAAGAGUCAAUGGGCAAAGAACACAAAUGUAUCGUCAAACACGAGAAGAAUAAAAGAAGGUUUGAACAAGAGAUUCUGUUUCCUUCAAUAAACAAAGAGCUCGCCGCUGUUAACUACACAAAAGCUUCUCGGAAGGAUGAAAAUGACCCCCGGCAGGUGCAGCUCGCGAACACCUCUGCCUACUACACGUACGUCGUCCUCGUCGUCAAGAGCAUGGUCUACACCGUCAUCAUCGCCAUCUGUCUGCUUGGGAGACCAGCACUCUGUGACAAUGGGAAGAGUUUCUAACCCAUGGUGGCACCAAGGGUCCACUUUACUCCUUGACUAUUGUCACUAAAAGAGUCUGUUGAGGAUCUAGAGGGGCUUUCUCUCUGCAUUUGGGUUAUUUCAGUUCACAUGUUUCUUUUUCUAUGUGUCAUCAUUGCAGAACAGGUUUACAAACCGCUAGGCAGACAGGAAAUGUCACUCUGCAUGGAGAACAAUUUCUGCCAUGACUCAGGGAUGGGGCCGGGGGGCAUCCACGGGGGCUUCAGUACCUCUCUAUCCUUCACGUCCACCAGCUCAUCAGCAGCACAGCACCCUCGCCUCUGAGUACACUUGGUGUGCAGCUUCCAUAGAGC